Molecule: ribosomal RNA, 433 nt
Filed under: uncultured bacterium
Lineage: Bacteria
Description: partial 16S ribosomal RNA
Rfam family: Bacterial small subunit ribosomal RNA
Source: RNAcentral
AACGAACGCUGGCGGCAUGCCUAACACAUGCAAGUCGAACGAUGCCUUCGGGCAUAGUGGCGCACGGGUGCGUAACGCGUGGGAAUCUGCCUUUCGGUUCGGAAUAACUCAGGGAAACUUGAGCUAAUACCGGAUAACGUCGCAAGACCAAAGAUUUAUCACCGAAAGAUGAGCCCGCGUAGGAUUAGCUAGUUGGUGAGGUAAAGGCUCACCAAGGCGACGAUCCUUAGCUGGUCUGAGAGGAUGAUCAGCCACACUGGGACUGAGACACGGCCCAGACUCCUACGGGAGGGAGCAGUGGGGAAUAUUGGACAAUGGGCGAAAGCCUGAUCCAGCAAUGCCGCGUGAGUGAUGAAGGCCUUAGGGUUGUAAAGCUCUUUUACCCGGGAAGAUAAUGACGGUACCGGGAGAAUAAGCCCCGGCUAACUCCGUG